ACUCCUACGGGAGGCAGCAGUAGGGAAUAUUGGUCAAUGGGCGGAAGCCUGAACCAGCCAUGCCGCGUGCAGGAAGACGGCCCUCUGGGUUGUAAACUGCUUUUAUACGGGAAGAAAAUGGCCUUGCGAGGCAAAUUGACGGUACCGUAGGAAUAAGCCACGGCUAACUACGUGCCAGCAGCCGCGGUAAUACGUAGGUGGCGAGCGUUAUCCGGAUUUAUUGGGUUUAAAGGGUGCGUAGGCGGCUUAAUAAGUCGGUGGUUAAAGGUAGCAGCUUAACUGUUUUACAUGCCAUCGAUACUGUUGAGCUUGAGUUAUCAGAAGGCAGGCGGAAUUUCUGGUGUAGCGGUGAAAUGCAUAGAUACCAGGAGGAACUCCUAUUGCGAAGGCAGCUUGCUGCAGAUAAACUGACGCUGAGGCACGAAAGUGUGGGGAUCAAACAGGAUUAGAUACCCUGGUAGCUACG
Molecule: ribosomal RNA, 466 nt
Filed under: uncultured bacterium
Lineage: Bacteria
Description: bacterial SSU rRNA
Rfam family: Bacterial small subunit ribosomal RNA
Source: RNAcentral